This 407-nucleotide ribosomal RNA is filed under the name uncultured bacterium. RNAcentral's name for it is "partial 16S ribosomal RNA". It matches the Rfam family "Bacterial small subunit ribosomal RNA", at positions 30 to 526 of the family's 1533-position model. The record is from RNAcentral.
AUUGAACGCUGGCGGCAGGCCUAACACAUGCAAGUCGAGUGGAGCGGCGGACGGGUGAGUAAUGCCUAGGAAUCUGCCUGGUCGUGGGGGAUAACGUCCGGAAACGGUCGCUAAUCCCGCCUACUAUCAGAUUAUCCUAGGUCUGUUUAGCUAGUUGGUGGGGUAAAGGCCUACCAAGGCGACGCUCCGUAACUGGUCUGAGAGGAUGAUCAGUCACACUGGAACUGAGACACGGUCAAGACUCCUACGGGAGGCAGCAGUGGGGAAUAUUGGACAAUGGGCGAAAGCAUGAACCAGCCAUGCCGCGUGUGUGAAGAAGGUCGUCGGAUUGUAAAGCACUUUAAGUUGGGAGGCGGUACCAACAGAAUAAGCACCGGCUAACUUCGUGCCAGCAGCCGCGGUAAUUC